Molecule: RNA transcript, 2635 nt
Organism: Humulus lupulus (European hop)
Lineage: Eukaryota; Viridiplantae; Streptophyta; Magnoliopsida; Rosales; Cannabaceae
Gene name: probable transcription factor KAN2
Exons: 7
Source: RefSeq, a predicted model, not a curated record
UCUCAAGUGUCAUUUUCUCACAUAUACUUCACACAAAAGAAACAACCAUUCACUUCAUACCUUGUCAUUUCUUUCUCUUUAUUUUUAUUUUUUUCUCUUCCUCUUUCUCUCUUCUUUUCUCUCUCCUCUCAAUCUCAAAAUCUGCAACUACUCCCUCAAAUUUGAUCAAACCCCAUCUGAAAAAGAAAACCCAGAAAAUCUCACCUGAAUUUCAAAAACCCCUUAUCUCCCACCACUACCCCACACACAAAUCCAGUUUACCCUAACGACUUCUUCCACAAAUUAACUUCAAACACACACGCAUACACAUAUACAUAUAUCUAUCUUUUUAUCUAUAUAUCCACAUAUAUAUAUAUACACCUAAUCCUUGGCAAAAGCUUCUUCUUUCUUCUUGUUUUUCUCUUCUACAUAUUAGCUACCCUAAAAAAAAGGGAAAAAGAAAAAAGAGUGAGAGAAGAGAAAAGUAGAAAAACUCAUCUAAAGAGGAGCACUUAGUUUGUACUAGUCUUCGUCCUCCUCUCUUUUUCUUGGUUAUUAGAAGAUGGAGCUGUUUCCUGCUCAGCCGGAUUUAUCCCUUCAAAUCAGCCCACCAAACGCAAAACCCACACCCAGUUGGAGGAGAAGUAGUGCCGGCGCCGGUGCCGCCACCUCAACCGAAGAAGAGGUUGAUUUGGGGUUUUGGAAAAGAGCUCUCGACUCCCAAAACUUCUCUAUAUCCUCUUCAAUGGCAGCCAAACCCGAUAAGUACCAUCAUAAUAGCAAUAGUAAUAACAACAUCAACAACAAUACUAGUAGUAGUAAUCAUAGUAACUCUUCGUCAUGCUUUUUCGACCUCUCUCUUUCGAACAACCCUCGUCUCGUUUCGAAUUCUUCUUCGGAAAAUAACAGUCUCUUUCUUCACCAAAACCAACAUCAUAGCAAUAACCAUUUCUACAACCACGGUAAUAAUAUUGGGAACAAUCUCUUCCAUAGUAAUAGUGCCAGUACUAGUGGUAGUAGUACUAUUACCAAUAAUGCUUUUCCCCACCAUCAAAAUCAACUUCUCCUCCACCCACACGCACCGUUUCAACACCUUCUUCAUCAUCAACAACAAGGAGGAGGAGGAGGAGGUGGUGGCGGUGGCGGAGGUGGUGGGUUGGGCCAAGAGUUGGGAUUCUUACGACCCAUUAGGGGAAUUCCGGUGUACCACCAAAACCACCCUCCUCCCUCAUCGUCAUUUCCCUUCUCUCAUACUCUAGAAACAACAGCUAAUUCCUUGUCGUCUUCAGUGAAUGGUACUAAUACGAUAACGAGUUCCAAUCCCUUUCAGUCCCAUCAUCAUCAAGCGGCGGCCGCCGCCGGCUUGAUGCGAUCGAGGUUUCUUUCUCAUCGUUUCCCAGCUAAACGCAGCAUGAGAGCCCCUCGGAUGCGAUGGACGACAACUCUUCACGCUCGUUUUGUUCAUGCUGUUGAGCUGUUGGGUGGCCAUGAAAGGGCUACGCCAAAGUCAGUUCUUGAGCUAAUGGAUGUGAAGGAUCUGACCCUUGCUCAUGUUAAAUCUCAUUUACAGAUGUACCGGACGGUCAAGACCACAGAUAGAGCAGCGGCUUCUUCAGGACAAUCAGAUGCGUACGAGAAUGGGUCAUCUGGAGACACAACUGAAGAUUUAAUGUUUGACAUUCAGAACACAAGAAGGUCUGAGCAAUCUCCUCAGCAAGGAAGGUCCAGUGGUCAAGACAAGGACUAUAAUAAUCCUGCCCUAUGGUGCAAUUCUUCAAGCAGGGAAGCUUGGUUGCAUGGCAAACCAAAAGAUUCUAUUGGUGGAAAUGUACCAUCUCUUGAUGAUGAUCAGGUGAUGAAAAACUGAAGUUCCUGCAUGUGAUUAUAAAAGAAAAAGAGCACAUUUCUUUGAGCAUGAUAUAAAGACAUGGAUCCAAAAUGCUUAAGCUACGAAAGAAUAUCAUCAUCAGAUGGAAGCUCACCAACAAAUAGUCCCAAGAAGCCCAAUUUGGAGUUCACUUUGGGAAGAGCACUUUGAUUAUAUAAUUAUUAAUUUUACUAUUAUUUCCAGAUUAGUAUAGAUCCUUCUUCAUUUCUCUGAUGGUGAUGGUGAUGAUGAUGAUGAUGAGUGUUACUAUAUAGUACUUCUCUUCUUUUGAAUUCAUUUAAAAAUGUCUCUAAAAGAAGGGUCCUGUGCUAGCUAGCUCUGUUGGAGUAGUGAGAGCUGAGAGAGAUGAGAAUCAGGUACCCAUCUGAGAAAAAUCACCCAAAAAAACAAAAGAAAAGAAAAGAGUGAGAGAGAAAGAAAGAAAGAAAGAAAAGUAAAAGGAGAGCUAAAGAAAGACAAGCAGACAAGAAAGACAGAAAGCAACAAAAGGAGAAAAGGGUAGGAAAAAAGCAAGUCCCCCCUAUCAAUUGCAGCUGUGAGAUCCAAAUCAACUUAUUAUAUUCCUACGUAAAUAUAUGAAAUCUAAUUGAUUUUGUAUGGUUUUGGCACCAAGCGAGAGAGAGAUAGAGAGAGAGAGAGAAAGAAAGAAAGAGCUUUAACUAUCUUAUUAAAGUAUUGGAAGUGAUCCUUAUUCCUUGGUAAUUGUAAUGGAGCACUUUACAUUUUAUGGAAAUUAAUAUAUAUAUAUUUAUUUUAUUAUUACAUAAA